GCAGUCGCGCGGACUUCUUCGGAAGUCAGCGGCGGACGGGUGAGUAACACGUGGGCAAUCUGCCUCUUAGACUGGAAUAACGCCUGGAAACGGGUGCUAAUGCCAGAUGGAGCAACGAACAGGCAUCUGUUUGUUGGGAAAGGUGCUACGGCAUCGCUAAGAGAGGAGCCCGCGGCGCAUUAGCUAGUUGGUGGGGUAACGGCCUACCAAGGCGACGAUGCGUAGCCGACCUGAGAGGGUGACCGGCCACACUGGGACUGAGACACGGCCCAGACUCCUACGGGAGGCAGCAGUAGGGAAUCUUCCGCAAUGGGCGAAAGCCUGACGGAGCAACGCCGCGUGAGCGAAGAAGGCCUUCGGGUUGUAAAGCUCAGUCACUCGGGAAGAGCGACCUAAGGAGUGGAAAGCCUUAGGGGAGACGGUACCGAGGGAGGAAGCCCCGGCAAACUACGUGCCAGCAGCCGCGGUAAUACGUAGGGGGCAAGCGUUGUCCGGAAUCACUGGGCGUAAAGCGUGCGUAGGCGGUUUUUUGGGUCUGGGGUGAAAGUUCAGGGCUCAACCUUGAGAAUGCCUUGGAAACUAGAAGACUUGAGUGCU
RNAcentral lists this ribosomal RNA (597 nucleotides) under uncultured bacterium. RNAcentral describes it as "bacterial SSU rRNA". It matches the Rfam family "Bacterial small subunit ribosomal RNA", at positions 57 to 650 of the family's 1533-position model. The record is from RNAcentral.